UGGGGAAUUUUGGACAAUGGGCGAAAGCCUGAUCCAGCAAUGCCGCGUGUGUGAAGAAGGCCUUCGGGUUGUAAAGCACUUUUGUCCGGAAAGAAAUCCUUGGCUCUAAUACAGUCGGGGGAUGACGGUACCGGAAGAAUAAGCACCGGCUAACUACGUGCCAGCAGCCGCGGUAAUACGUAGGGUGCAAGCGUUAAUCGGAAUUACUGGGCGUAAAGCGUGCGCAGGCGGUUUGCUAAGACCGAUGUGAAAUCCCCGGGCUCAACCUGGGAACUGCAUUGGUGACUGGCAGGCUAGAGUAUGGCAGAGGGGGGUAGAAUUCCACGUGUAGCAGUGAAAUGCGUAGAGAUGUGGAGGAAUACCGAUGGCGAAGGCAGCCCCUGGGCCAAAUACUGACGCUCAUGCACGAAAGCGUGGGGAGCAAACAGG
RNAcentral lists this ribosomal RNA (429 nucleotides) under uncultured bacterium. Its description in RNAcentral is "partial 16S ribosomal RNA". It matches the Rfam family "Bacterial small subunit ribosomal RNA", at positions 355 to 776 of the family's 1533-position model. The record is from RNAcentral.